Long non-coding RNA from Sapajus apella (tufted capuchin), 322 nucleotides. RefSeq lists it as uncharacterized. Lineage: Eukaryota; Metazoa; Chordata; Mammalia; Primates; Cebidae. The record is from RefSeq and is a predicted model, not a curated record. The transcript is spliced from 3 exons.
AUUACAUACUUAGGGGGCAAGUCAUUUAAUUAACCAGAACAGGUGGUCACACUAUCUCAUCUAAGGGUAAGUCAUUUAUCUUCUAGAGAAAAAUCAGCAAAGUCGUAAAACAUGACUUAGUAGAAAACUCAAUCAUCGUACACAAUGCAUCUCGUGACUGCAUGGCCAUCUGGCGAUUGCCCACAAGUUUAACUUUAACCUAAGUCUUUCUCUGUUCCUGCUUUCCAAUAGCUCGACUCCCUCAACUGGAGACACUGUGUCUGGGCUUGAGCCCUCUGUAUUGUGAGGCCCAUUUUCAGGGGGCCUCACACGGGAGCGUUCC